UUUUGUUAGGUUCAAACCCAAAGGAUCAAAGACACACCCACGUGAUUGCCUCAACUUUGGAAAAGUCAGCAAUUCCAACUAAAGUUUAAAAAUGUGAGAGGGACGUCUCUGAAACACUGCCAAUUGAAGAUCAAAAACCCAUCUGUGUUCGAGAUUUUGCUCCAAAUCAAUACACCAUCUCCCAAGGAAUUCACGGAUCACGCUUUCUAAGUUAGAACGGGAAACAGGGAACCACUCAGAAAAUACAAAAG
Molecule: long non-coding RNA, 251 nt
Filed under: Prunus persica (peach)
Lineage: Eukaryota; Viridiplantae; Streptophyta; Magnoliopsida; Rosales; Rosaceae
Description: long non-coding RNA (PPER_LNC003740)
Source: RNAcentral